GCAGGGCAUGGUGGUGCAUACCUGUAGUCCCAGCUACUCAGGAGGCUGAGAUAGAAGGAUUGCUUGAGCCCAGGAGUUCGAGGCUGCAGUGAGCUGUGAUCAUGUCACUGCGCUCUAGCCUGGGUGAUAGAGUGAGAUCCUGUCUCAA
Molecule: non-coding RNA, 148 nt
Filed under: Gorilla gorilla gorilla (western lowland gorilla)
Lineage: Eukaryota; Metazoa; Chordata; Mammalia; Primates; Hominidae
Source: Rfam by way of RNAcentral